RNAcentral lists this ribosomal RNA (327 nucleotides) under uncultured eukaryote. RNAcentral's name for it is "partial 18S ribosomal RNA". It matches the Rfam family "Eukaryotic small subunit ribosomal RNA", at positions 1470 to 1796 of the family's 1831-position model. The record is from RNAcentral.
CCCUUAGAUGUUCUGGGCCGCACGCGCGCUACACUGACGAAUGCAACGAGCCUAUAACCUUGGCCGAAAGGUCUGGGUAAUCUCCAAAUUUCGUCGUGAUGGGGAUAGAUUAUUGCAAUUAUUAAUCUUCAACGAGGAAUGCCUAGUAAGCGCAAGUCAUCAGCUUGCGUUGAUUACGUCCCUGCCCUUUGUACACACCGCCCGUCGCUCCUACCGAUUGAAUGGUCCGGUGAAGCGUUCGGACCGUGGCCUUUGGACGGUUCGCCGUCUGUUGGCUGCGGGAAGUUCGUUAAACCUUAUCAUUUAGAGGAAGGAGAAGUCGUANCA